AUGAAGGCAGAAGAACAAUUUUCAUUCCAACCAAAUGGACAAUGCAGUAUUAUAUUUUAUAUCUAUACUAUACUAACCCUAUACUGCUCAUAUCUGACCUGCCUCUUUUUUUUCUUUCCAUCUCUCUCCUCUCCUCUCCUUCUCUCUCCUUUCAUCCCUCUCUCCUCUCCUCCUCUCUCCUCCUACAUCCCUCUCUCCUCUCAUCCUCUCUCCUCACAUCCCUCUCUCCUCUCCUCCUCUCUCCUCUCAUCCCUCUCUCCUCGUCUCUCCUCUCAUCCCUGUCUCCUCUCCUCCUCUCUCCUCUCAUCCCUGCCUCCUCUCCCCUCUCAUCCCUCUCUCCUCUCCUCAUCUCUCCUCUCAUCCCUGUCUCCUCUCCUCCUCACUCCUCUCACCCCUGUCUCCUCCUCUCUCCUCUCAUCCCUGUCUCCUCUCCUCCUCACUCCUCUCACCCCUGUCUCCUCCUCUCUCCUCUCAUCCCUGUCUCCUCUCCUCCUCACUCCUGUCUCCUCCUCUCUCCUCUCAUCCCUGUCUCCUCUCCUCCUCUCUCCUCUCAUCCCUGUCUCCUCUCUCCUCUCCUCCUCUCAUCCAUGUCUCCUCUCCUCCUCUGAUCCCUGUCUCCUCUCCUCCUCUCAUCCCCGUCUCCUCUCCUCCUCUGAUCCCUGUCUCCUCUCCUCCUCUCAUCCCUGUCUCCUCUCCUCCUCUCUCCUCUCAUCCCUGUCUCCUCUCCUCCUCCAUCCCUGUCUCCUUUCCUCCUCUCCUCUCAUCCCUGUCUCCUCUCCUCCUCUCUCCUCUCAUCCCUGUCUCCUCUCCUCCUCUCUCCUCUCCUCUCAUCCCUGUCUCCUCUCCUCCUCUCUCCUCUCAUCCCUGUCUCCUCUCUCCUCUCAUCCCUGUCUCCUCUCCUCCUCUCUCCUCUCCUCUCAUCCCUGUCUCCUCUCUCCUCUCAUCCUUGUUUCCUCUCCUCCUCUCUUCUCUCCUCUCAUCCCUGUCUCCUCUCCUCCUCUCUCGUCUCCUCCUCUCAUCCCUGUCUUCUCUCCUCUCAUCCCUGUCUCCUCUCCUCCUCUCAUCCCCGUCUCCUCUCCUCCUCUCAUCCCCGUCUCCUCUCCUCCUCUCUCCUCUCAUCCCCGUCUCCUCUCCUCCUCUCAUCCCCGUCUCCUCUCCUCCUCUCUCCUCUCAUCCCUGUCUCCUCUCCUCCUCUCUCCUCUCAUCCAUGUCUCCUCUCCUCCUCUCUCCUCUCAUCCUCUCUUCUCCUCCUCUCAUCCCUGUCUCCUCUCCUCCUCUCUCCUAUCCUCCUCUCUCCUCUCCUCUCCUACAGGGGAAGUCUCUCCAGAGAUUCAAGAAGAAGUUGAGAGAAGCUGUCCUCAUAGCAACACAAGCCCAGAGUAUUCCACUCAAGGUUGUCUAGGUUUGGGUUCUGGACUCAACAAACAUCAGACAGAGAGAGCUCAGAGGACAGCGACAUUGCUGGUACACACAAUACUUCACAAAUACUAUACACACACACACUGCACCUGA
RNAcentral lists this long non-coding RNA (1512 nucleotides) under Oncorhynchus mykiss (rainbow trout). RNAcentral's name for it is "lncRNA (ENSOMYG00000075793.1)". Lineage: Eukaryota; Metazoa; Chordata; Actinopteri; Salmoniformes; Salmonidae. The record is from RNAcentral.